This 484-nucleotide ribosomal RNA is filed under the name uncultured bacterium. Its description in RNAcentral is "partial 16S ribosomal RNA". It matches the Rfam family "Bacterial small subunit ribosomal RNA", at positions 28 to 507 of the family's 1533-position model. The record is from RNAcentral.
AUUGAACGCUGGCGGCAUGCUUUACACAUGCAAGUCGAACGGCAGCGCGGGCUUCGGCCUGGCGGCGAGUGGCGAACGGGUGAGUAAUGCAUCGGAACGUGCCCAGUAGUGGGGGAUAGCCCGGCGAAAGCCGGAUUAAUACCGCAUACGACCUGAGGGUGAAAGCGGGGGACCGAAAGGCCUCGCGCUAUUGGAGCGGCCUAUGUCGGAUUAGCUAGUUGGUGGGGUAAAGGCUUACCAAGGCGACGAUCCGUAGCUGGUCUGAGAGGACGACCAGCCACACUGGGACUGAGACACGGCCCAGACUCCUACGGGAGGCAGCAGUGGGGAAUUUUGGACAAUGGGGGCAAGCCUGAUCCAGCCAUGCCGCGUGCGGGAAGAAGGCCUUCGGGUUGUAAACCGCUUUUGUUCGGGAAGAAAUCCUCUGGGCUAAUACCCCGGGGGGAUGACGGUACCGGAAGAAUAAGCACCGGCUAACUACGUG